Long non-coding RNA from Oryzias melastigma (Indian medaka), 1705 nucleotides. RefSeq lists it as uncharacterized. The record is from RefSeq and is a predicted model, not a curated record. NCBI's taxonomy places the organism in Eukaryota, Metazoa, Chordata, Actinopteri, Beloniformes, Adrianichthyidae. The transcript has 2 exons.
AGGUAGAAACGAAGGAAAAGAGUUGUCGCACAUUUUAUUUGUGAGAAGCCGAGCAGACAACCUGUGUAGACCAGCACGAUUCGGGAGAAGAACUUUAUUGAACAACUCAAGAGGGUUUUUCCUACGAACGUUUUGUUUUCCUUUGAACAUCCUGGUGAGUUGGAGUUUUAAUUUCCAGUUAAACUGUAUGCACGUGCUGUAGGGAGACGGACAUGUAGAUUCAGAUUAUGCAAAUGAGUGCAUGUUGCCAUAAUAAAUAAAAACAGGUCAGGAUUUGUUUUUGGAGGAAAUAAUUGAUUACCGUGUACCAUGAGCUAGCAUAGCUACAUUUUUUUUAGCUUGCCACGUUGCACAAGUUAGCAGACCUGCACGUGGGGUGAAGUGAAUUAUCUUUUGUUACUUUUUGUGUGCAAUUUAUCUUGUUGCAGUUACAUAUAUGAGGAAUUAUAUUUUUUCAUUUGUAAGUACACUCAGAACUUAUUUGGAACCGUGUAAGUAAACAUUUGUUUUAGCUAUUUAUUUUUUUAUUUUGCAAAUUCAGUAAUUGUUCUGCACACUUGUGUGCAGACAGUUUUUCUUUUCUAUGCUGGACUCUCCUUGAAGAUCCAAAGUGCACCAACCGGGAUUCUGCGCGGCUGAAUUUCGGGAAAUCUGGACAUCUUGAAUCGGAAGGUUAAGCAGGAGCGCGGAACUGUUCCCUCACACUGAGGUGAAGAACUAUCCGGACUGGGUGUUCGCCAUCAUCAUCCUCCUCUGCAUCGUUCCUGUGGUUGUGGUCAGACUGAUUCGCUCUAGAGUCAAAAGGUCAUCCACUGCAGCCAACCUGAACCCCUGUGGAGUUACAUCUGCAGGAAAUCCAGCAGAGCCCCGGGGUUAGAGGCCUGUUGGACCCUGGCAAGCCUCAGGUCUAGAAGCCUCUCCAGGUGGCGCUUCUGUAACGGAUGUGAACUUUCACCUCCGUCCAUACAGAAACUCACGGCACUGGGUAGUUUGACAGCUUUACUCUGGUCUGUAACGGGCAUAAAACAAAAUUUUACAAUUUGUUCCCACCGGCAGUAACACAUCUGGCUCCCCUCUGCAGCUCUCUCUGCUCUGCGAAGGCCAAAAAUCAUAACAUUACAGUUAUUAAUUACAUUUUUUUUUCCAGAAAUUACAUUCAGUAAACUCUAAUAAUUAAUAUAUUCUAUAAAUGACAGCAAUUGUUAUUAUUUUUUCUUAUUGAAUGUAUACUGUUGUUUGACUAUUGCUCAGUUUGUUUCUUUAAAUGGCACUACAGCGCCUCCCUGUGGAUGCUUUUGUAACGUGCGCAACAAUUUCAUUUUUUUCCAUUGGAGCACGUAUCUGUUUUUCUUUGCUGGUACACUCAAGGACCGUACACUUGGAUGGAGUCUACAGUUAAUUUUUUUGUAGAUCGCACCCCUUUGUAAGCGGAAUGAGGUAAAAUACAGAUACAAUGUUUUGUUUUUGUAUUUCUUGAAGUGAAUGUAAAUUUGUUUAUUUUAAUUUAUGAAAUAUGUUUGACAGUUCUUUUAUUUGUGACGCAGUUUCCCAAUGUUAACUGACACAUUUUUUGUGUAUUGAGGAAACUUUGUUAUAUGUAUAAGUGAAACUGAAAAUGUCUUUGUUGUAUUGUUUAGUUUUCACGGUGCACAACUACUUUGGAUGGUUACAUCAAAGAGACCAAUAAAGUACGCACUUGUUUGAA